AUUGACCAUUGUCCCUUAGUAAUCAUUUUCCUUCCCUCCUCCCCUUUGAAUUUUUCUCCAUUUCAUUUUGGGCGCACUGUUUCAAAAACGGAGAGGGGCAGAGAGGGAGCGAUAGGUAGAGGCGUUCGAGCGGCGAAGGAGAGGAGGCGAUUCCGUCGGGUUCUUGUCGUGUCCGAGAUCCAUCUCUGCUCGAGCUUGAUUUGCCCUGUCUCUCCCCCUUUUCUCGUGCGAUUUAGGGCUCGCCCGGUUGGUUGUUCUUGUCUCUCCCCCUUCUCUCGUGUGAUUUGCCCUAUCUCUGUUGGUGUAGAUUCUAGAUCGAGAUCUGGGGAUUGUUGGUAGUUGUAUUUUGAUGCGUUUUUGUUGCUCUUUUGUAGAUUUAGCCGUUGGUUCUGCUUGUAGUUUGUGUAGUUUCCCAUGGAUGCCCCUCUGCUCGUGUCAGAUGUAUGAAUUCGUGUGUUAGUUCUGGCUCAUAUGCUUCCCCUGUUAGGUUUUAGGUGUUCUUGUUUUGAUUCCCUCGGUGGAGGCGCUGGUAGGUUGUUCGUUCAUGUAAAUUUGUUUAGAUGUUGGUCAUCUGCAUAGGGUUAGGCUUUGUGAUUUCUGCUGGUAGUAUUGUCUUUGUUUGUAUUGAUUCACCUGGCUUGCCCUCUGCAUGUGUAGUUCUACCAUCUGGUAGGGUUAGGGUUUGUGAUUUUUGUUGUAGUUGUAAGUGUUCUAGCUUGCUUUACUAUGUUAUUGUGUAGCAGAUUUACAGGGGAUUGGUCUGGCUCGCCCUCUGCAUGUGUAUCCAAUUUAGGUACCUUGUUGAUAGUAUUCUCUUCAACAUUUGGUCUGCAUGCUUCUUAUUUUUCAUGAAUUACAGUGGAUGAUAACUCAGAAUUAAAAUGUAAUGUGUCCCAUAAUUCCCCGAUUACACUGUAAAUUUACUAACUGUAAUAUACCCUAGAAUAUUACUGUGGAUUUUAACUCUAAUUUACUGUGUAGUUUGUAUGCUUUGUCUCUAACUUUUUUAGGUUAUUUUUACUCUAUAAUUGUGAGAUAGUUUACCCAGGAAUUUGCACUCUAAAUUUACCUCUGAGUUGUGCUAUAUUACACUGUAAUAUACCGCACAGUUACUGUGUCAUUUCCAUGUAAAUCAUUGUAUUUGUCAGUUAGAUUUCUCUGAUUUUUCAGCGUUAUUUCAAUGCUUUAGCACUGUAAUUCUUCUAGUUCCUUCCUUAUUUUCUGUGUUAGAUCAUCUCGGUUUAGUAUUCUUGUGUAUUCUAUUUAGCAUUUUGUCUGUACAUGUUGUGUAAUUUUCAUGCAUCUUUUUUUCAUGAAUUACAAUGGAUUUUUCUCUGAUUUACAUUUUAAUGUUUUCCAUAAUUCCAUAAUUCCCCAAUUACUCUAUGAUUUACCAACUGUAAUACUACCUCUGUCAGGAAUUACUUGUUGCUCAAAUGGAUGUAUCUAACACUGUUUUGCAAGAACUUUCUGGUGAUGAAGGAGAAAGUAAAAUGCUUGAAGAGGAAAUUAUGAUCUGCUGGGCGAAGGAAUGUGGUUAGUCCUCCUUUUUUUGUGGGGUGGUUAGUCCUCCUUGAUUGUUCCUAAAGUUAUAUCUGAGUAAAAUGCUCCGUGAUUUAUUUUCCUUGCAUGUAAACAUUUCCCACAGUAUUUUUUGACUGAUGUAGUUCUGUACUUUUGAUGUUAUUAUCAUUUCUUUUUGCUUGCACUUUGCAAGUUAUUUUCUUCUGCUUUUUCCAGUAUAAGUUAUUAGUCUUUUUCAAUGACUUUUUCAUCUUGUUCAUGUGAGUCCAUUUUCUUCGUCAUUUUCCACUACAAGUUAUUAUCUUUUUCUUCUAUUUUGUAGGAACAUAUCAAUGUCUCUUCAUUGAGGAAUCCAUUGUCUCCGUCUUGUUCAUGCGAGUCAUCUGAUUCUUUCCUUUCUCCAUUAUUGUGGUCCAUGCUUGAGUUUGUUUUACCUGCUGAUGUAGUGGGAUCAAUAUAUCCAGUCACCUGCAAUUUUAAUCACUUGUUUCAGUUUUGUUUUUCUUAAAGCUUUCAUCUAUGAUAUGUAUUUGUUUUUGAAUUUUUGUGUGCCUUCCUAAUCCAAAUUCAUGCUAUAAAACAGGUUUGUCUCCUAGGGAUUAGAUUCCGCUCUGCCGUCUUCGCUUACUGUUGCUACGUCAUGCAUUUCUUCCAAUGUCUGCAGAGUAAGUUAAAAUGUACGCUACUGCUUUAUUUUCUCAGGUCUUAUAAGAGUUCCAAUGUCUACUUACAUUUCUAUCUAUUCUUGCGCUGUUGAUGUUAUUUGCAUUGGUCUUGGAGUUUUCCUCGUUAUUUUCAGUCAUCCUUGUAGGCCCAUCUCAUGAGUGUACCAGCAAGCAACAGGGCAAUUUAUUUUUUAUAGUUGUUCUUUACUCAGAUUGGUAGCUCUGCGGUAAUUGAAUUUGCUUUUACCUUGUAUAUAAUGUCGGAAUGUAGAAGAGCGGUGAAUGAAAAUGUGUCCUGUAACUUUUGUUAGCAUUUAUAUUUUUAUAUAUGUAACAUCUUCCUAUAGUUUCUGCUAGUGUAACUCACAUUUAGGAUGAGUUCUUCCUGUGACAAUCUCAGUAGGUCCUCUUCAGUUGCUGUCUUCAUCAUACUCCUCAUCUGGCAUAUUUGAAAAGAAAAUGUCAAUAUUAACAAUAUUGAGCAACAAACUGUUUAGAUAUAUAUGAAAUUUGCUGGGUACUUUCACUGUUGUGCUUUGUUUAUUUUUGCUGUAAAUAGCUGGGUAUUCCCUGUGUAAUAUAAUGGGAACUAUCACCGUAAAUUAUAGUGGACUAGCUCUGGAGUUUCACUGUAUUUUGCUGGGUUUUUACAGCACAAGUUCAUCAUUGCAAAUCCUGCAUUAUUUUUGUGCAAUUCCCUAUGUGAGUGUUCCGUAUUUUUCAAGGGUAUUUACAAUGUAGGCACUUUCACUAUAAUUCUUGGGUAUUACAGUGUUUGUUUUUGGUCACUUACACUAUAAUUUCUAGGGGUUUUACACUAUAAUUCAGUGUAAGCCCUUAGUUUUACUAGUGUUUUGGGUACUUGCAGUGUAUUUACUGUGUAUGUAAUCUGUAUUUUCUAUGGUAUUUACACUGUAAAUCUUGGUACACUAUAAUUCAGCGUAAGCUCAUCAGUUUUACUAGUGUAAAUCAGUGGGUACCUGCAGCGAAUUAGUGUGUAUGUAGUCUGUAUUUUCUAGGGGAUUUACACUGUAAAUCUUGGUCACUUACACUGUAAUUCAUCAAUUUUACUAGUGUAAAUCAGUGGGCACUUGCAGUGUAAUUACUGUGUAUGUAAUCUUUAUUUUCUAGGGGAUUUACACUGUAAUCUUGGUCACUUACACUGUAAGUCUUUGGGUACUUACAGUGUAUGUACAGUGUAAUUUCUAGGGGAUUUUCUUGGGCGGUUACAUUGUAAUUCCUAGGUUUUUACAGUGGUAGUUCACCAGUUUUGCAAGUUACCUGGGUAAUUGCAGUGCCAUUUCCUGUGUAUGUGGACUGUAAUUCUUGGUAAUUUACAGUGUAUGUUCACCAGUUUUGGGUACUUGCAGCCUUGUUUUCGUUUCAAACUUUACACUAAAUAUUUGUCAAUUUUUAUUGUUUCUAUGCUAUCAUGUGCAUAUUUUGUUUGUAUUUGCUGUAUGCUUUUUCAGAGUUUGCAGUGUGAUUUUCAGCUACCUCAGGUUUGUAUUUACCAUGUUUUUUGCCACUGUAAUUAUAGACUUCAAAGUUUCUGUAAUUACAAAGUUUCACAACUGCCAACGAUCACACAUUCUUUAGUUUCUCUGAUGAUUUUGUUUCUCAGUGUUUCCAUGUAAGAGAUGAAGCUGGUGAAGGGGUUGAAGAAUUGGGGUGGGAGUAGAAGUGUUCCUGCUCCCCUGAUCUGGGGAUCGUCUCUUGAGUGAUUUUCCUGUGAUCUCCCUCAUUGUUUGGCUGAUGUUCUCUUUAGUAGAAGUGUUCUAGGUUCAGUUGAAACUGGGUCAGAGUUUAGCCCGACCCGUUUUGUUAGAAAUACAGAACAUACAAUUA
Non-coding RNA from Aegilops tauschii subsp. strangulata, 4037 nucleotides. The record is from RefSeq and is a predicted model, not a curated record. NCBI's taxonomy places the organism in Eukaryota, Viridiplantae, Streptophyta, Magnoliopsida, Poales, Poaceae.